AUUGAACGCUGGCGGCAUGCCUUACACAUGCAAGUCGAACGGCAGCACGGGAGCAAUCCUGGUGGCGAGUAGCGAACGGGUGAGUAAUGUAUCGGAACGUACCUUUCAGUGGGGGAUAACGUAGCGAAAGUUACGCUAAUACCGCAUAUUCUGUGAGCAGGAAAGCAGGGGAUCGCAAGACCUUGCGCUGAUUGAGCGGCCGAUAUCAGAUUAGCUAGUUGGUGAGGUAAAGGCUCACCAAGGCGACGAUCUGUAGCGGGUCUGAGAGGAUGAUCCGCCACACUGGAACUGAGACACGGUCCAGACUCCUACGGGAGGCAGCAGUGGGGAAUUUUGGACAAUGGGCGCAAGCCUGAUCCAGCCAUGCCGCGUGAGUGAAAAAGGCCUCGGUU
This 392-nucleotide ribosomal RNA is filed under the name uncultured bacterium. RNAcentral's name for it is "bacterial SSU rRNA". It matches the Rfam family "Bacterial small subunit ribosomal RNA", at positions 30 to 424 of the family's 1533-position model. The record is from RNAcentral.